RNAcentral lists this ribosomal RNA (253 nucleotides) under uncultured bacterium. Its description in RNAcentral is "partial 16S ribosomal RNA". It matches the Rfam family "Bacterial small subunit ribosomal RNA", at positions 524 to 776 of the family's 1533-position model. The record is from RNAcentral.
UACGUAGGGGGCUAGCGUUGUCCGGAUUUAUUGGGCGUAAAGAGCGCGUAGGCGGCCGAGUAAGUCCGACGUGAAAUCUGGAGGCUCAACCUCCAGCGGUCGUUGGAAACUACUCGGCUAGAGACCGGAAGAGGAGAGUGGAAUUCCUGGUGUAGCGGUGAAAUGCGUAGAUAUCAGGAAGAACACCGAUGGCGAAAGCAGCUCUCUGGGACGGUACUGACGCUGAGGCGCGAAAGCGUGGGGAGCGAACAGG